GGCAAGAUGGCCGAGUGGUCUAAGGCGCUGUGUUCAGGCUUGCAGUAGCAAUACCUGUACAAUUCGCAGUCUCUCUGAGGCGUGGGUUCGAAUCCCACUCUUGUCA
Malassezia nana is the source of this 106-nucleotide non-coding RNA. The record is from the annotation of a GenBank genome assembly. NCBI's taxonomy places the organism in Eukaryota, Fungi, Basidiomycota, Malasseziomycetes, Malasseziales, Malasseziaceae.